RNAcentral lists this transfer RNA (16 nucleotides) under Plestiodon brevirostris (shortnose skink). RNAcentral describes it as "partial tRNA-Met". The record is from RNAcentral. Lineage: Eukaryota; Metazoa; Chordata; Lepidosauria; Squamata; Scincidae.
GUAAGGUCAGCUAAUU